This 1080-nucleotide long non-coding RNA is filed under the name Homo sapiens (human). Its description in RNAcentral is "epigenetically induced MYC interacting lncRNA 1". Lineage: Eukaryota; Metazoa; Chordata; Mammalia; Primates; Hominidae. The record is from RNAcentral.
AUUGCAAACACGAAGCUCUUCCAGAAACGCCCUCACAGACACCCCGGAAGUCACGUACCCACUCUGUAGGUGCCCCGGGGCACAGGCAAGCGGACGAGCCAGUUAUCCCUCAGAGCUCCUGCUGCCUCGCCCGCUUUCUCUCGGAAACGUGAAGUGUGGCCUCAGCUGAAAGUGAGGUGGGCCUCAUUCAAUCAGUUGAAUUCUUCAAGAGAGAAAAACUGAAGUCCCUUAGAAGGAAAGAGUUCUGCCUUCAGACUGUCUUUGAACUUAAGACUGUAGCGUCGACUCCUGCCGGAAUUUCCAGCCUGCUGGCCAGCUCUGCAGAUUCACACUUGCCAGCCUCCACAAUCGCAGCUGAGGCGGAGGAACCCUAAGGGCUCAUUGAGAUCAUGGAUUUGCCCUUCUAUGCAUUGAUGGAGCACCUGCUGCCCACAGCGUCUGUAUUUGGUGCUGGGAUGCUGAGCCUCCUUCUUUAUGAAUUUUUAAAAGGACACUGAGAUCUUCAAACAGAGGCUGCCACUCUAAGCAAACAGAUCCCGAGCCCUGGACUCUGAAGCUUGGGCCCAGUUCUCCUUUUCUCCGGGUUUCAGAUCCCACUGUGAAGUGAGGGGGCCCUUCUGAUUCAGGACCCGGGGAAGCCAGGGGCAUGAGCAUCGGUGCCUCUUCUCUAUUUCAAGGACCCUUCUGGGUGUAAAGUUCUCUGAGAUGCCUUACAUGGAUUCCCACCACUGCAAGAUAACCAUCGUAUGUAAAGUGUUAUGACCAGCAGAGCGUAAUUGAAGUGCAUUCCAGAGGGAAAGACAGCGGCUCAGAUGAGGCUUCAGGCUUGACCAAAUCUGACUGGCUGGCUGCCGGAGACACUGCUACCCAUCGGCCCUUAAUAAAUGGCCUCAUUUGAUCAUCAUGUGAUCUUCAGAAGCUGGGCUUGAUUAUCCUUGCCAAACAAAAUGCUGAAACCAAAAAUCUGAAAGGUAUUUCUUGCUAAGUAAGGGAGAGCUGUGCUUGUAGAGUGUGGUCACCCUGAACAGCGCAAACUGCUUGUGGAGCUCCAAGACUGGCAGACUUGGGAGGGGGAGCAUU